Long non-coding RNA from Brachypodium distachyon (stiff brome), 551 nucleotides. RefSeq lists it as uncharacterized. The transcript has 2 exons. The record is from RefSeq and is a predicted model, not a curated record. Lineage: Eukaryota; Viridiplantae; Streptophyta; Magnoliopsida; Poales; Poaceae.
AACUUAUCCAUCCCAAGUCGAUCGUCAACAUAUACGUGUCGUCAUGCAUGACCGAUGAAAAGGGUAUUUACAGCCUCGUGUGGUCUUCACAAACUUCAGACCUUCAGUUCGUUCACCUGAGGAAGGUAUCAUUCACAGCGGUGGCUGAUGACUAUACAUUGCACUACUAGACAUGUGAAAAAUCCAACUCUCGGGUGUCUUCAUGGACCGAGUAAGUCAGAUUCGAGGACUUGGAUGAGAUGGAGAUUUGAGAACAGAAUUCUGGUAUAUCGUCAAUAAUACUAGAGCGUACCACUGGAGGAUCUGGAAAGAGAGGAACUCUAGAGUUUUUCAGCAGGAAGCUAACUCAUCGACGACCUACAGGUCUGGAGAACAGCAGGCUGCAUCACCUCUCCGUGAGUUUGCUAUGGAUGUUAUCCUCUGUACUGUGGUCUCUUUGCGUUAACAUGUGGGCUUGUUUUAUUUCUCCUGGCACUGCCUGUGCCUUGUAACCUCCUUCUUGUACUCUCUUUUUCUAUCUUAAUAAAGUUCGGCCACCGGCCCUUCGAAUA